RNAcentral lists this ribosomal RNA (284 nucleotides) under uncultured prokaryote. Its description in RNAcentral is "partial 16S ribosomal RNA". It matches the Rfam family "Archaeal small subunit ribosomal RNA", at positions 455 to 727 of the family's 1478-position model. The record is from RNAcentral.
GUGCCAGCCGCCGCGGUAAUCCAUUAGAAACCCCGGUAGUCCGAGUGAUGGCCGAUCUUAUUGGGCCUAAAACGUCCGUAGCUGGCUGAACAAGUCCGUUGGGAAAUCUGUCCGCUUAACGGGCAGGCGUCCAGCGGAAACUGUUCAGCUUGGGACCGGAAGACCUGAGGGGUACGUCUGGGGUAGGAGUGAAAUCCUGUAAUCCCGGACGGACCGCCGGUGACGAAAGCGCCUCAGGAGAACGGAUCCGACAGUGAGGGACGAAAGCUAGGGUCUCGAACCGG